Molecule: ribosomal RNA, 250 nt
Filed under: uncultured bacterium
Lineage: Bacteria
Description: partial 16S ribosomal RNA
Rfam family: Bacterial small subunit ribosomal RNA
Source: RNAcentral
GAUGAACGCUAGCGGCAGGCUUAAUACAUGCAAGUCGUGGGGCAGCAUGGUGUAGCAAUACACUGAUGGCGACCGGCAAACGGGUGCGUAACACGUACGCAACCUUCCCGUUACUGUGGCAUAGCCCAGGGAAACUUGGAUUAAUACCACAUAUUAUAUUGAGAGGGCAUCCUUUUGAUAUCAAAGCUUCGGCGGUAACGGAUGGGCGUGCGGUUGAUUAGGUAGUUGGCGGGGUAACGGCCCACCAAGC